This is a ribosomal RNA of Danio rerio (zebrafish), 115 nucleotides long. The record is from Ensembl. NCBI's taxonomy places the organism in Eukaryota, Metazoa, Chordata, Actinopteri, Cypriniformes, Danionidae.
GCUGGCAGCUAGCUCUCUGCAUCUCUUACAUGGUCACCCACUGAAGCUAAGCAGGGCUGCGCCCAGUUAGUACCUUGAUGGGAGACCACAUGAGAAAGCUAGGUUGCUGCCGGAA